ACAGUGGACGCGAGCAUCUGUGGCCAAGUUUUUAAGGGCGCACGGUGGAUGCCUUGGCACCAGGAACCGAUGAAGGACGUGGGAGGCCACGAUAGUCCCCGGGGAGCUGUCAACCAAGCUUUGAUCCGGGGGUUUCCGAAUGGGGAAACCCGGCAGUCGUCAUGGGCUGUCACCCGCUGCUGAACACAUAGGCAGUGUGGAGGGAACGAGGGGAAGUGAAACAUCUCAGUACCCUCAGGAAGAGAAAACAACCGUGAUUCCGGGAGUAGUGGCGAGCGAAACUGGAUGAGGCCAAACCGUAUGCGUGUGAUACCCGGCAGGGGUUGCGCAUGCGGGGUUGUGGGAUCUCUCUUUCAUAGUCUGCCGGCUGUGAGACGAGUCAGAAACCGUUGAUGUAGGCGAAGGACAUGCGAAAGGUCCGGCGUAGAGGGUAAGACCCCCGUAGCUGAAACAUUAACGGCUCGUUUGAGAGACACCCAAGUAGCACGGGGCCCGAGAAAUCCCGUGUGAAUCUGGCGGGACCACCCGCUAAGCCUAAAUAUUCCCUGGUGACCGAUAGCGGAUAGUACCGUGAGGGAAUGGUGAAAAGUACCGCGGGAGCGGAGUGAAAUAGUACCUGAAACCGUGUGCCUACAAGCCGUGGGAGCGUCGCGCAUCGAGCUUGCUCGGUGCGUCGUGACUGCGUGCCUUUUGAAGAAUGAGCCUGCGAGUUAGCGGUGUGUAGCGAGGUUAACCCGUGUGGGGAAGCCGUAGCGAAAGCGAGUCCGAACAGGGCGUUUGAGUUGCACGCUCUAGACCCGAAGCGGAGUGAUCUAGCCAUGGGCAGGUUGAAGCGGAGGUAAGACUUCGUGGAGGACCGAACCCACCAGGGUUGAAAACCUGGGGGAUGACCUGUGGUUAGGGGUGAAAGGCCAAUCAAACUCCGUGAUAGCUGGUUCUCCCCGAAAUGCAUUUAGGUGCAGCGUCGUGUGUUUCUUGCCGGAGGUAGAGCACUGGAUAGGCGAUGGGCCCUACCGGGUUACUGACCUUAGCCAAACUCCGAAUGCCGGUAAGUGAGAGCGCGGCAGUGAGACUGUGGGGGAUAAGCUCCAUGGUCGAGAGGGAAACAGCCCAGAGCAUCGACUAAGGCCCCUAAGCGUACGCUAAGUGGGAAAGGAUGUGGAGUCGCAGAGACAACCAGGAGGUUGGCUUAGAAGCAGCCACCCUUGAAAGAGUGCGUAAUAGCUCACUGGUCAAGUGAUUCCGCGCCGACAAUGUAGCGGGGCUCAAGCGUACCGCCGAAGUCGUGUCAUU
This 1293-nucleotide ribosomal RNA is filed under the name Streptomyces sp. NP10. RNAcentral describes it as "partial 23S ribosomal RNA". It matches the Rfam family "Bacterial large subunit ribosomal RNA", at positions 1 to 1209 of the family's 2925-position model. The record is from RNAcentral. Lineage: Bacteria; Bacillati; Actinomycetota; Actinomycetes; Kitasatosporales; Streptomycetaceae.